Pelobates cultripes (western spadefoot toad) is the source of this 298-nucleotide non-coding RNA. NCBI's taxonomy places the organism in Eukaryota, Metazoa, Chordata, Amphibia, Anura, Pelobatidae. The record is from the annotation of a GenBank genome assembly.
AGAGUAUACAUCGACCUGGAGAAGUCUGCCCUCCGUAUUAAUGCUGGAUAUGGGAGAAGGUGUAUUAUAAUAAAAGCAGGCGGAGACUGGAGAGUAUACAUCGACCUGGAGAAGUCUGCCCUCUGUAUUAAUGCUGGAUAUGGGAGAAGGUGUAUUAUAAUAAUAGCUGGAGAGUAUACAUCGACCUGGAGAAGUCUGCCCUCCGUAUUAAUGCUGGAUAUGGGAGAAGGUGUAUUAUAAUAAUAGCUGGAGAGUAUACAUCGACCUGGAGAAGUCUGCCCUGCGAAUUAAUGCUGGA